RNAcentral lists this ribosomal RNA (497 nucleotides) under uncultured bacterium. RNAcentral describes it as "partial 16S ribosomal RNA". It matches the Rfam family "Bacterial small subunit ribosomal RNA", at positions 28 to 507 of the family's 1533-position model. The record is from RNAcentral.
GAUGAACGCUGGCGGCGUGCCUAAUACAUGCAAGUCGAGCGAACAGACGAGGAGCUUGCUUCUCUCACGUUAGCGGCGGACGUGUGAGUCACACGUGGAUACCCUACCUAUCAGACUGGGAUCACUUCGGGAAACCGGAGCUAAUAGCGUAUAAUCUUUUGCACCGCAUGGUUCAAUAGUAAAAUACGGUGUUGCUGUCACUUAUCGCUGGAUCCGCGCUGCAUUAGCUAGUUGGUAGGUUAACGGCUUACCAAGGCAACGAUGCAUAGCCGACGUGAUAGGGGGAUAGGCCACAUUGGAAGUUAGACACGGUCCAGACGACUAAGGGACGCAGCAGUAGGGAAUCGGCCGCAAUGGGGGAAAGCAUGACGGAGUAACGCGGAGUGAGUGAUGAAGGCCUCCGGAGCGGAAAACUCUGUUAUGAGGGAAGAACAGAUGUGUAAGUAAAUGUGCACUUAUUGACGGUAACGAGUCAGAAAGCAACGGCUAACUACGUG